RNAcentral lists this ribosomal RNA (259 nucleotides) under Alexandrium margalefii. RNAcentral's name for it is "partial Bacterial small subunit ribosomal RNA". It matches the Rfam family "Bacterial small subunit ribosomal RNA", at positions 1 to 302 of the family's 1533-position model. Lineage: Eukaryota; Dinophyceae; Gonyaulacales; Pyrocystaceae. The record is from RNAcentral.
UUGAGAGUUUGAUUCUGGCUCAGAACGAACGCUGGCGGCAGGCUUAACACAUGCAAGUCGAACGAUAUAGUGGCAGACGGGUGAGUAACGCGUGGAAACGUGCCUUUCACUACGGAAUAGCUUUUGGAAACGAAAGGUAAUACCGUAUACGCCCUCCGGGGGAAAGAUUUAUCGGUGAAAGAUCGGUCCGCGUUAGAUUAGCUAGUUGGUGAGGUAACGGCUCACCAAGGCUACGAUCUAUAGCUGGUCUGAGAGGAUG